GGGUUGUGAGGUUAAGCGACUAAGCGUACACGGUGGAUGCCCUGGCAGUCAGAGGCGAUGAAGGGCGUGCUAAUCUGCGAUAAGCGCCGGUAAGGUGAUAUGAACCGUUAUAACCGGCGAUACCCGAAUGGGGAAACCCAGUGUGACUCGUCACACUAUCAUUAACUGAAUCCAUAGGUUAAUGAGGCGAACCGGGGGAACUGAAACAUCUAAGUACCCCGAGGAAAAGAAAUCAACCGAGAUUCCCCCAGUAGCGGCGAGCGAACGGGGAGGAGCCCAGAGCCUGAAUCAGCAUGUGUGUUAGUGGAAGCGUCUGGAAAGGCGCGCGAUACAGGGUGACAGCCCCGUACACAAAAGCGCAUGUGCUGUGAGCUCGAUGAGUAGGGCGGGACACGUGGUAUCCUGUCUGAAUAUGGGGGGACCAUCCUCCAAGGCUAAAUACUCCUGACUGACCGAUAGUGAACCAGUACCGUGAGGGAAAGGCGAAAAGAACCCCGGCGAGGGGAGUGAAAAAGAACCUGAAACCGUGUACGUACAAGCAGUGGGAGCCCCACCACCAAAGCAUUCUCUGGUGUUGAAGGCCCUGCAAAGCAGCAUCGCGGUGGCGGAGCGUCGUUUGCGACGCCCAACACACAAAACAAGCGGUGAGUGCU
This 653-nucleotide ribosomal RNA is filed under the name Salmonella enterica subsp. enterica serovar Kentucky. RNAcentral describes it as "partial 23S ribosomal RNA". It matches the Rfam family "Bacterial large subunit ribosomal RNA", at positions 1 to 601 of the family's 2925-position model. The record is from RNAcentral. Lineage: Bacteria; Pseudomonadati; Pseudomonadota; Gammaproteobacteria; Enterobacterales; Enterobacteriaceae.